GGUGCAUGGUUGUCGUCAGCUCGUGUCGUGAGAUGUUGGUUAAGUCCCGCAACGAGCGCAACCCUCGACCUUAGUUGCCAGCAUUCAGUUGGGCACUCUAAGGUGACUGCCGGCUAAAAGUCGGAGGAAGGUGGGGAUGACGUCAAAUCAUCAUGCCCCUUAUGACCUGGGCUACACACGUGCUACAAUGGGCGGUACAAAGGGUCGCGAACCCGCGAGGGGGAGCCAAUCCCAAAAAGCCGCUCUCAGUUCGGAUUGCAGGCUGCAACUCGCCUGCAUGAAGCCGGAAUCGCUAGUAAUCGUGGAUCAGCAUGCCGCGGUGAAUGCGUUCCCGGGCCUU
This 340-nucleotide ribosomal RNA is filed under the name uncultured Anoxybacillus sp. Its description in RNAcentral is "bacterial SSU rRNA". It matches the Rfam family "Bacterial small subunit ribosomal RNA", at positions 1040 to 1382 of the family's 1533-position model. Lineage: Bacteria; Bacillati; Bacillota; Bacilli; Caryophanales; Anoxybacillaceae. The record is from RNAcentral.